Molecule: ribosomal RNA, 304 nt
Filed under: Bacillus toyonensis
Lineage: Bacteria; Bacillati; Bacillota; Bacilli; Caryophanales; Bacillaceae
Description: partial 16S ribosomal RNA
Rfam family: Bacterial small subunit ribosomal RNA
Source: RNAcentral
UUAUUGGAGAGUUUGAUCCUGGCUCAGGAUGAACGCUGGCGGCGUGCCUAAUACAUGCAAGUCGAGCGAAUGGAUUGAGAGCUUGCUCUCAAGAAGUUAGCGGCGGACGGGUGAGUAACACGUGGGUAACCUGCCCAUAAGACUGGGAUAACUCCGGGAAACCGGGGCUAAUACCGGAUAACAUUUUGAACUGCAUAGUUCGAAAUUGAAAGGCGGCUUCGGCUGUCGCUUAUGGAUGGACCCGCGUCGCAUUAGCUAGUUGGUGAGGUAACGGCUCACCAAGGCAACGAUGCGUAGCCGACCU